This 309-nucleotide ribosomal RNA is filed under the name Metamycoplasma hominis. RNAcentral describes it as "bacterial SSU rRNA". It matches the Rfam family "Bacterial small subunit ribosomal RNA", at positions 156 to 461 of the family's 1533-position model. Lineage: Bacteria; Bacillati; Mycoplasmatota; Mycoplasmoidales; Metamycoplasmataceae. The record is from RNAcentral.
UUAAUGGCUAAUGCCGGAUACGCAUGGAACCGCAUGGUUCCGUUGUGAAAGGCGCUGUAAGGCGCCACUAAAAGAUGAGGGUGCGGAACAUUAGUUAGUUGGUGAGGUAAUGGCCCACCAAGACUAUGAUGUUUAGCCGGGUCGAGAGACUGAACGGCCACAUUGGGACUGAGAUACGGCCCAAACUCCUACGGGAGGCAGCAGUAGGGAAUAUUCCACAAUGAGCGAAAGCUUGAUGGAGCGACACAGCGUGCACGAUGAAGGUCUUCGGAUUGUAAAGUGCUGUAUAAGGAAGAACAUGCAGUUUAC